AUGCUAGCUUCAGCAGCACAUAUACUAGAACUGGAACAAAACAGAGAAGAUUAAUAUGGCCUCUGUAAAAGGACAACAUGCAAAUUCAUGAAGUGUUGCAUAUGUUU
This is a small nuclear RNA of Microcebus murinus (gray mouse lemur), 107 nucleotides long. Lineage: Eukaryota; Metazoa; Chordata; Mammalia; Primates; Cheirogaleidae. The record is from Ensembl.